CCUCCCCCUCUGUCCUGUCUUCCUCUCCUUCCUCCUCGUCGUCCUCCGCCAUAGUGGCGAGCACGACAACAGCCACGCCUCACGCCCUCACCUCCAAUCAUUGGCCUCCCCAACCCAACCUCUCCCCGCCCCGUCCUGUUGAGCCGGGUGAUUGACGGAUUAUUAGUUAAUCCGGGGGCUUCACCUCGUUUUAGCGGCCUCGUUCGUUCGCCUCCGCAAAAGGCUAACGCCAGCCCGGGCGCGCGCUAACGGCAGCAACGACAGCAACCCGCUGGCUAGCUAGUCCUCCCCACGAUUCGACUCCGCCACCGUCCCCGGCCCAGGCUGGCUUUGAGGAUUCAUCUUUUCUCCCCCCCCC
This 358-nucleotide long non-coding RNA is filed under the name Zea mays. Its description in RNAcentral is "drought responsive lncRNA". Lineage: Eukaryota; Viridiplantae; Streptophyta; Magnoliopsida; Poales; Poaceae. The record is from RNAcentral.